GACGGAGGGUGCUAGCGUUGUUCGGAAUCACUGGGCGUAAAGGGCGCGUAGGCGGCCUUGCAAGUCGGUUGGUGAAAGCCCGGGGCUCAACCCCGGAGGUGCGGCCAAGACUGCAGGGCUGGAGGCCGGAAGAGGAGGGUGGAAUACCCAGUGUAGAGGUGAAAUUCGUAGAUAUUGGGUGGAACACCGGUGGCGAAAGCGGCUCUCUGGUCCGGACCUGACGCUGAGGCGCGAAAGCGUGGGGAGCAAACAGG
RNAcentral lists this ribosomal RNA (254 nucleotides) under uncultured bacterium. RNAcentral's name for it is "partial 16S ribosomal RNA". It matches the Rfam family "Bacterial small subunit ribosomal RNA", at positions 524 to 776 of the family's 1533-position model. The record is from RNAcentral.